GGCUGCAUGGUGGUGCAGUUGAUAGCACUGUUGCCUUGCAGCCUGGGUUCGACUCCCAGCCUGGGACCU
Molecule: non-coding RNA, 69 nt
Organism: Crenichthys baileyi (White River springfish)
Lineage: Eukaryota; Metazoa; Chordata; Actinopteri; Cyprinodontiformes; Goodeidae
Source: the annotation of a GenBank genome assembly